UUGCCAUACAGCAGAGUAGUCACAAAUACUUGAGAAAAGUUAAUAUUUCACAGUUACAUCAUCGUGACUGUGCAGAUAUUCAUUCAUUACAUCACCACCAACAUCCACCGCCGGUUCGGACUGGAUGAGUUAAGAUACGCCAAAAACAUGAGGCAAUAACCUUUUGGAGUGCAUGUUUACUACAUACUCUGGAAAAGCUGAAAAAGAUGUGGCCCUAAUGGUACAGGAAUGCAUUCCUCGCCUUGUUGCCAGGCGGCAUCUCGGUGCCCGCCCCAUCUCAAGGACACCACUGGCACCCGGACACCGUUUUGGGGCAUUAAAAUGCAUCAGACCUCCCCGAGUGCAGCAGCAGCAGCAGCAGGAGCAGCAGCAGCAGCAGGAGCAGCAGCAGCAGCAGCAGGAGCAGCAGCAGCAGCAGGAGCAGCAGCAGCAGCAGCACGGAUGACCUGUUUGGUAUCAGGUGUGAUGUGCCACUAUAAGUGACCUUCUCCAUCUGAUCCUCUGGUCCACUUCCCAGGGAGACAGAGCUGGACGGGCCGGCAUGCAGCCCGCCAUCGAUUCUCCAGCGAGAGGUUAUCUAUACGUGGUAUUUUAAUGUCACGGAGUCAGGCCAAAUUGAUAGUGAUAAAUAUUUGCCGGAAGAUUAGGUGAGGGGAGUGUGUCGAGGGCGCUCCAUCUCAGACCUGUAACCCCGGGCAGAGCUGUUCCUCUCUGUGUCGGAUUAGCCCCAUCCAUCCAGUGUCAAUGGCUGUCUUGUUGAGAAAAUCAGUGAGUAAACACGGCUGACAGACAGACAGAGCGAGAGAGAUGGCGCAGUGAGUGUGUGUGAGUGCAGCGUGUGUGUGUUAGGUGAUACAUGGGCAGCUGAUUACUCAUACAUAUAGACUCAAAACUCUCCAAAAUGUGUGGUUUUUUUGCCUCUGUUCAACUGCUCUCCUCUCUCCCACAUUUACUUCCCCCUGCUGUCUCCAAGGAUCCCCUCACCCCCCAUCCUGCUGUUACCACUUUGUCCCUCAUCAAUCACUGCAGCAUUGUGUCCUGGAUGUUAUAUAGAGUGACUUAAUAUCCCCUCCUUCAUCUCUAUUCACUCCCAAAAUCAUUCUCCAUGAGGGUGUUGCAUGCCGUGUGUGUGUGUGUGCGUGUGCGUGUGCAUGUGCGUGUGUGUGUGUGUGUGUGAGUGUGUGUGGUUGAGGAUGGGACCAUCAAAAGAAAAACAUUUUGAGGCAAACACACCCCGAUCGCUGCAACACAGGAAUCCUCUCCACGUACGAUCCUCACAUGUUCAGAAAUUUUGAUCUGAACUUCUGACAUAAAAAUGACUAUGAAUGAAUGCAGGCUAUCGUGGAUAUUAAUGCACAAUGAUGUAGGGCUUGUUUGUCUUUGUGUGUCAUCCGUUAAAAGACUUGAAAGGUCUCAGUAAAUGUCUCUGAAACACGACGAUGUGGUGAAAUGAACUUAAACAUCCUCCGGCUUUAAAUCCUAGAUUUAAAAAGAUCACCUGACAUUGUGGUUAUAGUCGCUUCCUCGCAGAGGGUUGGAUGAAAUGAUGAUCCUCAGGUCUGUCUGUUAAAUGAAAAAGGAUGUGGCCAUUAGCUUAGCAUAGCAUCAAUGGUGGAAACAGGGAGGGCACUAGUCUGACUCUGUCUGAAGGCGCAUGUUGUUGUUUUUUUGUGAUUAAUAAAAAUAGAAAUAGAAC
This is a long non-coding RNA of Scophthalmus maximus (turbot), 1696 nucleotides long. RefSeq lists it as uncharacterized. The record is from RefSeq and is a predicted model, not a curated record. NCBI's taxonomy places the organism in Eukaryota, Metazoa, Chordata, Actinopteri, Pleuronectiformes, Scophthalmidae. The transcript has 3 exons.